This 253-nucleotide ribosomal RNA is filed under the name uncultured bacterium. Its description in RNAcentral is "partial 16S ribosomal RNA". It matches the Rfam family "Bacterial small subunit ribosomal RNA", at positions 524 to 776 of the family's 1533-position model. The record is from RNAcentral.
UACGUAGAGUGCAAGCGUUAAUCGGAAUUACUGGGCGUAAAGCGUGCGCAGGCGGUUUUGUAAGUCUGUCGUGAAAUCCCCGGGCUCAACCUGGGAAUGGCGAUGGAGACUGCAAGGCUAGAGUUUGGCAGAGGGGGGUAGAAUUCCACGUGUAGCAGUGAAAUGCGUAGAUAUGUGGAGGAACACCGAUGGCGAAGGCAGCCCCCUGGGUCAAGACUGACGCUCAUGCACGAAAGCGUGGGGAGCAAACAGG